AAAGACUUGAGAACAGAAAUAGCAACUGUUAACUGAAGGGUAGAAUUGCUUAACUCUGUAUUUUCUGAAAGUCAGUGGAAUAAUACUGCAGUGAAAGAGCUCAGAAGGAGUAAGAGGAGGUAUGUAAGAACCAUGCAGAGAAGGACCUUCUGUAUCUGAAAUCUUUACUACGUAGAUGACAGUAGGUACUUAUGCAGAAAGACAAAACAAGGACUCAAGAUCCAGAAAACUAUGACCUGGGGAAAGAAAUCUCUCUGAUGUACUCCAAACUCCUACUGAACCUAAGAUAUUUUGAAACAAAAGCUAUUUGGGGGAUACUUUUCUUGAGGCUUUCACAAUAUUAUGGUGUCUGGAAGUUUAAAGUUGAACUGAUCUUCAGAUCUGCAUUUCUGCCCUGCUGAUGAUCCUCAUUCCUUGAACUGACAAACAGACCAGCAGGACCCACAAUCACUGGAAGCAAGCAGUGCCAUGGAUAUUGUUUAGAAACAACAGUCAGACACUCAGGGAAAACCUUUGCUUCGA
Molecule: long non-coding RNA, 522 nt
Organism: Lagopus muta (rock ptarmigan)
Lineage: Eukaryota; Metazoa; Chordata; Aves; Galliformes; Phasianidae
Exons: 6
Source: RefSeq, a predicted model, not a curated record